RNAcentral lists this ribosomal RNA (433 nucleotides) under uncultured bacterium. RNAcentral's name for it is "partial 16S ribosomal RNA". It matches the Rfam family "Bacterial small subunit ribosomal RNA", at positions 29 to 507 of the family's 1533-position model. The record is from RNAcentral.
AACGAACGCUGGCGGCAUGCCUAACACAUGCAAGUCGAACGAGACCUUCGGGUCUAGUGGCGCACGGGUGCGUAACGCGUGGGAACCUGCCCUUAGGUUCGGAAUAACUCCCCGAAAGGGGUGCUAAUACCGGAUAAUGUCUUCGGACCAAAGAUUUAUCGCCUUUGGAUGGGCCCGCGUUGGAUUAGCUAGUUGGUAGGGUAAAAGCCUACCAAGGCGACGAUCCAUAGCUGGUCUGAGAGGAUGAUCAGCCACACUGGGACUGAGACACGGCCCAGACUUCUACGGGAGGGAGGAGUGGGGGAUAUUGGACAACGGGGCAAAGGCUGAUCCAGCCAUGCCGCGUGAGUGAUGAAGGCCUUAGGGUUGUAAAGCUCUUUUACCCGGGAUGAUAAUGACAGUACCGGGAGAAUAAGCUCCGGCUAACUCCGUG